RNAcentral lists this ribosomal RNA (460 nucleotides) under uncultured bacterium. Its description in RNAcentral is "partial 16S ribosomal RNA". It matches the Rfam family "Bacterial small subunit ribosomal RNA", at positions 338 to 795 of the family's 1533-position model. The record is from RNAcentral.
CCUACGGGAGGCAGCAGUGAGGAAUAUUGGUCAAUGGGCGUAAGCCUGAACCAGCCAAGUCGCGUGAGGGAUGAAGGUUCUAUGGAUCGUAAACCUCUUUUAUAAGGGAAUAAAGUGUGGGACGUGUCCUGUUUUGUAUGUACCUUAUGAAUAAGGAUCGGCUAACUCCGUGCCAGCAGCCGCGGUAAUACGUAGGAUCCGAGCGUUAUCCGGAUUUAUUGGGUUUAAAGGGGGCGUAGGCGGCCCUUUAAGUCAGCGGUGAAAGUCUGUGGCUCAACCAUAGAAUUGCCGUUGAAACUGGGAGGCUUGAGUAUGUUUGAGGCAGGCGGAAUGCGUGGUGUAGCGGUGAAAUGCUUAGAUAUCCCGCAGAACCCCGAUUGCGAAGGCAGCCUGCCAAGCCAUGACUGACGCUGAUGCACGAAAGCGUGGGGAUCAAACAGGAUUAGAUACCCUUGUAGUC